Molecule: ribosomal RNA, 424 nt
Filed under: uncultured bacterium
Lineage: Bacteria
Description: bacterial SSU rRNA
Rfam family: Bacterial small subunit ribosomal RNA
Source: RNAcentral
UGGGGAAUAUUGCGCAAUGGGCGAAAGCCUGACGCAGCAACGCCGCGUGAGUGAAGAAGGCCUUCGGGUUGUAAAGCUCUGUCAGGAGGGAAGAACGACCGAGGUAACCCCUCGGCCUGACGGUACCUCCAAAGGAAGCACUGGCUAACUCCGUGCCAGCAGCCGCGGUAAUACGGAGAGUGCAAGCGUUGUUCGGAAUUACUGGGCGUAAAGAGCGUGUAGGCGGUUUUGUUAGUCUGAUGUGAAAGCCCGGGGCUCAACCCCGGAAGUGCAUUGGAAACUGCAUCACUUGAGUACUGGAGGGGAAAGCGGAAUUCCGAGUGUAGAGGUGAAAUUCGUAGAUAUUCGGAGGAACACCAUUGGCGAAGGCGGCUUUCUGGACAGAUACUGACGCUGAGACGCGAAAGCGUGGGGAGCAAACAGG